CCUGGUAACUGGCGCUAAGUCGUAACAAGGUAGCCGUACCGGAAGGUGCGGCUGGAUCACCUCCUUU
RNAcentral lists this ribosomal RNA (67 nucleotides) under Pseudomonadales bacterium. RNAcentral describes it as "partial 16S ribosomal RNA". It matches the Rfam family "Bacterial small subunit ribosomal RNA", at positions 1467 to 1533 of the family's 1533-position model. The record is from RNAcentral. Lineage: Bacteria; Pseudomonadati; Pseudomonadota; Gammaproteobacteria; Pseudomonadales.